Molecule: ribosomal RNA, 502 nt
Filed under: uncultured Acholeplasma sp.
Lineage: Bacteria; Bacillati; Mycoplasmatota; Mollicutes; Acholeplasmatales; Acholeplasmataceae
Description: bacterial SSU rRNA
Rfam family: Bacterial small subunit ribosomal RNA
Source: RNAcentral
UGCGCCUUGCCAGCCCGCUCAGAAACUUAAAGGAAUUGACGGGACCCCGCACAAGCGGUGGAUCAUGUUGUUUAAUUCGAUGAUACGCGAAGAACCUUACCAGGUCUUGACAUCCCCCGCGAUGCUUUAGAGAUAAAGCGGAGGUAUUCGGGGAGACAGGUGGUGCAUGGUUGUCGUCAGCUCGUGUCGUGAGAUGUUGGGUUAAGUCCCGCAACGAGCGCAACCCCUAUUGCUAGUUACCAUCAUUAAGUUGGGGACUCUAGCGAGACUGCCAGUGAUAAACCGGAGGAAGGUGGGGAUGACGUCAAGUCCUCAUGGCCUUUAUGACCAGGGCUACACACGUACUACAAUGGCCGAUACAAAGGGCAGCGACACUGCGAGGUGAAGCCAAUCCCGUAAAAUCGGUCUCAGUCCGGAUUGGAGUCUGCAACUCGACUCCAUGAAGUUGGAAUCGCUAGUAAUCGUGGAUCAGCAUGCCACGGUGAAUACGUUCCCGGGCCUU